Molecule: long non-coding RNA, 3206 nt
Filed under: Anas platyrhynchos platyrhynchos (common mallard)
Lineage: Eukaryota; Metazoa; Chordata; Aves; Anseriformes; Anatidae
Description: lncRNA (ENSAPLG00000023231.1)
Source: RNAcentral
AUGCAACCCAGCUGGCCCUGCCUCCAUCUGGUACUUAGCCUGAAUGGUGACAGAUGUGAAAGCCCAUCUUUGAUGCUGAACGCUACCUCAACUGGACUGCGAAGGUGGAGACUCAUGGUUGGUCCUGCAAAUCAAAGGCAUGAAGCACCCAUGAUGGACUUUCCCGCUGAUAAGCUGUAUGAAGAAAUACAGAUAGCAGCUUUGUGGUAUCAAACUAAAUGUUGUUGCUGGUUUCUUGGAGACCCAUAUUGCAGCUCUCCAUCUGCCUGCUGGUUUCUGUAUUUAUACCUUGUACUAAGGCUCUAUUUAGAGUGUGGUAGGCAUUUGUAGCACUAACUGACAAUAUAUUCCUUAAAACAAUCAAAUGAGAUAAAUGUGUGGUGGUGUGUUUUUUAUUGUUGUCACUGUUCAAUAUCAGAAUAUAAAUUCAUAGUUUCAGCAUUUUCUUGUUACUCUGUGUAAGGAAUCCAUCGACAAGUGCUAAGCAGAAUCCUGGGUUGGUUUUCAGUUUUAGUGCAGAAUUCUGCACUAUGUGUCUCAGGUCGCUUGCCUUAAUCCAUCUCCCUGCCUCAACUCUGUAUAAGCAAGAUGCAGGCGAUAACACCACCCCGAAGGGGUGGCACAGGGAUAGAUGUAAUCAAGAGGGUAAAGGAUUGUGCAGGUGUUAUUGCAGUAACAACCACACAAUACCUAGGAUUCCUUAUCUAAAUGCGAUGGUUAAGCAGGCGCUUAUACACUCUGGAGAGCUAGCUGCUUUGCAUUCUUUGUGCUGAUAAAGGGAGCGUACUUUGUCCAGUUUCAGACCACUCACCACGAAUGUAGUCACAUAUUAUUGGGCUUUUUCAGGCUGCAAAAUGAACUGCAAUGGGCAGUGAUAGCAGGUGGGCCUGUAACGCUAUGCAAAAUGCUAACUAUCAGAUUUCCAACAGAGCCCCUUGCUCUAAAUGGGGAUUUGGCAUUUUCUAAAGCCUUCAUCUCCCAUUGAGAACAAGGAGGGACUCUCGGAGUUUAAGCGCCUUUGAAAAAAAAAAAGUCUGGCCUCAGUACAGGAGCUGGGCUGUUCUUAAGAUGGUAAAAAUGGAGGAGGGGUGUGUGAAAUCGAACCAUAAAUGAGCUCUGUGACCUCGCUGGCAUGAGUGCAACACGCACACUGACACUGAGAGAAUUGUCACAGAAUUGAUGAGACACCUGGAUCAGGGCUUCCAAAGGUUAAUACGUUUGUCACAAGAUAGAGUUUGGUCUCUGCUGGCAGCAGCAGUUCUUCAAAGCUCUUCUGACUGCUUUGCCAGUUCUGUAUGCAUCAAUAUUGUGCUUUUCGGCUGCACAUGUGGCCUUAACGUCCUAAUCCUGUUCUGACUAGGGUCAAAUUCAAAGGCUUUUCCCUGCCUCAUCCCCUUAAGACUCUGAUUCGACGUUUUAUUGUGAGGCAGUCAGGCAUUAUACUGGUUCCUGGGCAUAAGAAAAGCACAGCUAUAUUUUCUUAUUUUGAGAGGCAUCCUGCUCUGCUCACACACACACCCAGUUGGUGUGGGCAUUCUGUAGAAAGGUUUUUAUUUUAGGUCAGAAUGAAAAGGUUUAAAACUAUUCAAAUUAUAUAUAUUUUUUUCUGUUCACUGCUCUUUUUUUUUUUUCCAAAAAAGUCACUGUUUUUUUGUUCCUAUUCUGAAACUGUGUGUCACAGACCUGCUGUGAUGCCCGCACACAGUGAAGCAGAGCUGUCAUCCCUCUGUAGCACGCUUGCCUCAGAGCUCUGCAUGCCCAUCCUCUUCUUCUAGAUGAUCUUCCAUGGAGGGAGCCAGCUUGGAUCAGCCAGAAUUAGUGUGGUGUGAUCAGCCAGAGUUAGGUUUAUUAUGUCUUCCACCAGAUAAUGGGUACCUGUGUCUAUUUCUGUAGGAAUACAGCUUUUCAGUGGACUCAGAAAGCUGUACUGUGCUUUGCUGAGUUCCUCUCACGUCUGUGGAUUCUCCUUCCAGACACUGCUGGGUUAUGAGACUAUGGGAUGGCGUCUCCCAUUACUUGCUGCCUCUCACUCUUAGCCAAAGUUGUGAUCUUGGUACAAAUCUUGGUCGACCAUUCUGGAAAGGUUUCACUUCUCCUCAACCCCAUGCUCUGAAGCGUUGAUCUUUCUUUUCAGUGGCAUUCUUUAUGGAUGUUGUGUUUGCAGUUGCUCUAUGACUUUGGCUAGACAUUAUUUCAGAUCAGCAUCUGUUAUAUGUGUAUGAAUUGCUCUCUAGUCUUUGGACUUCAAUUACUGCCGCUGUCCUGGAGACAACAAAAGGCUUGAUGCUCUGUUACCCACUUCUUCACUCAGCUCACCUAUGUCCGCGUAAUUUUUAGAGGAAUGUUUGCCGUUCUCUGUGCUGCCGUACUUCUUUCCAGCUCUGAGCCAUACCUUGAAAUUCUGACCUUCUAGCCCGUAUAGUGAAAAGCUGUUUAGAUGUAGAACUUAGGGAUAUGGUUUAGUGGGGACUGUUAGUGUUAGGUCAGAGGUUGGACUCGAUGAUCUUGAGGUCUCUUCCAACCUAGAGAUUCUGUGAUUCUGUGUGAUUCUGUGUAUUGGCCACCUAGGAGCUUGAAUCCUCGAGGUACUUCUAGCUGAACUGCCUUUGUGUGAAUGGACAAGGCUUCCCAAACACCUUCCUGAGGGGAUGUACUGUGACAGAGGUUGAGCAGUGGUAAUGGCUGGCUUUUUUAUGCAGAUGGCAACCUCAAGAAGUGCUUAACAAGGUGACAGGCAUCAACAGCCACACAGUCCCUUUCCUUCAGCUAUGUCGAUGUGCAACUCCAUCUCACGUUGUGCUCCUGACUGCCUGCUUCACAGGUAAUGGCAUGGCUGAGAAAUCAGACUACAACCCAGGACACUGGCAGCGCGGUUGCAUUUCUUGCCAUCAGUGCAGGUGGGGCGCCAGACCCAGGCACACCACUUGCCUGUGGCCUGGAGAAGGUCCAGCCCAGUGUGCAGACAGGGAUUCUGUAUUUCAUUUCUUCUCUCUGUAGCUGAAAAGGUUUUAAACUGAAAUGCCAGACACCAUUAAGCUGAUACUGAUUUCCUUUCUGUCUAGGGUAACUGGUAGAUCAAUAUUUUGGUUGAGGAUAUAUUUUAUGCUAAAUAUAAUAUUUUACAAGAUAACCGACUUGAAAAUACAGAAGAGUUUAAAUGUUUUGCUUUUCAGGUUUUAUGUGCAAUAAAAUGAUGACUGGUAUCA